Molecule: long non-coding RNA, 826 nt
Filed under: Olea europaea subsp. europaea
Lineage: Eukaryota; Viridiplantae; Streptophyta; Magnoliopsida; Lamiales; Oleaceae
Source: RNAcentral
GCAUUUGCAGAAUUAUGUCCCUAUUUGUUAACUUCAAAUCACUUGUGAUGAUCAUAUAUUAUAUCAAAAUCAACGAUCAUAUAACCAUAAUCCAACACGUAUGUUCUAAGGUUAUAAAUAUAUCUAUAGGCCAUUUCAAAAGUUAUACAAGACAGUACCCCCAAAAUACGACAAAAUAGAGUGUAAGCUCAAAACAAUAGCCCACAAAAUAACGCUACAAGUCGUCAUCCAUGUACAUCGAACUCUGAAAUCCCGUAAGAGCUCCAUAGCUAGCCAUGCUCUUUAUGUAGUUCCAUGUUCACCUACAAUACAAGAACUACAUAAGUCAAUGCUUAGUAAGUAAAAUCAUGCAUGUCCUGAACAUGAGUUAUAACGAUAUAUGACACCAUGCCAUUUAUUUUAAAUAUCACGAUAAAAAGUAUCAUAUUUCAAUAUUUGUCAAAGUCGACUAGAAAUCAUUUCACUUGAAAUCUUUCAUUUCAUUAGGCCCUUGACCCACCUACUAUGCACCAGAUAGAGCUCUGCAUAAUAUUAAUAUCAAUAAUCAAGUGGCCAAUAUGAAAUCGACACUGGCGAGUAGACCAUCCUCUCGUGAUCGCUAGAGGCCCAUCCCCUAACUACCCCUAUGAUCACCCAAGAAGUCUUCCACCCGGCAGCACCAAUAAUCAUAACAAGGGCAUAGUCCAGUGGUCCGCCCUGCCAUGAUCACCAAAGGCCCAUCCCCUGUCUACCUUUGCAAUCACCCAGGAAGUAUCACCCGCGAUGCCAAACGUAUCACAUAAGCAUGCCUCGGUGCCCUAGUAGUGGUCAAUAAAAUAUUUAUAAA